This is a long non-coding RNA of Anolis carolinensis (green anole), 1656 nucleotides long. RefSeq lists it as uncharacterized. NCBI's taxonomy places the organism in Eukaryota, Metazoa, Chordata, Lepidosauria, Squamata, Anolidae. The record is from RefSeq and is a predicted model, not a curated record. The transcript has 2 exons.
GAACCUGUCCUACAGCUUCUCUGUGUUGAUCUCUGUGGAACUGGCAGCCUGCCUGGACAACGUGUGUGGGACAAAAGAUGCCCUACUUGUGGCAUGACUCACCACUGGAUUUGCCUCUCAGCUUCUCACCUCCCUAGUUUUCCAAUUUUAGAGUUGGGACGCGACGCUUGGUGAGGCAAUCGCUGGACCGGAGUAGAGGAGAGGCAAGAAGAAACAAAGCCUGGAAGCAUUGGCUGCUCCCGUCUCUUCUAUCUAAGUUGCCUUCUCGGGGCUACUCUAUGACCCAUCUCCAUUUGCUCUUCACAGGAGAACAUCAAGGAACCCAAAGAUGUCCAGGCUGAUCAGGGCCUUCACGGACAUGAUGGAAGGCAACCAUAAGUCCAACCCUAAGAAAGUGAAGGAGGCAGAGACGUUCAAGAAGAGCGAAUUCAAGAAGCUGAUCCAACAGGAGCUGUCACCAGUCAUGGUCCAGCGAUCCAGCAGCAGUAAGUACAAAAAUAUGAAGAAUGCCCUUGACUCUGAUGCUGAACUGAUGACAGACAAAGAAACUGUACCCUGUGCUUAUUGAAAUCCGUUUCAUGCAGAGCAACCAUAAAUGAAGGUAAUAUGGGCACUUCACUUAGUUUAGACUUCUAUAAGGUGAUUUAUAUGGGUCUCCUCUUGGAAACUGGGCUUUCUCACAGCUGGUAAAUCACCAGCAGUAAUAAGAUCUACUAACCGAAAGGUGGCCAGUUUGAAUCCCGGUCGGGGUGAGCACCUGACCAUCAAGUCCAGCUCACUGUUUACCUAAGCAGUUCGAAAACAACUUAGAGGUGUAAGUAGAGAAAUUAGGUACUGCUAAUUAAGCGGGGGAGGUAUUUUACAACACCAUAAAAUGCCGAUGAUCAAAUGUAAGGAGGAAGUCCUGAUGGCUCUUCGCCAUAGAGAAUGGAACAAUAGCACCCUCCUGUGGCUGAAUCUGAGCACAAUCUUCAGGGCACCAAAACUGGACUUCAAACACAACUUACCUCCUUUCUGUCUGUUCUGUUCUGUCCUGUCUGUCCAAAUGGCAUUGAAUGUUGUGUAUGUGUACUGUGAGUCCCCUUGGGGAGAUAGGGCGGAAUAUAAAUAAAGUGUUGUUGUUGUUGAUAUUAUUAUUAUUAUUAUUUUAUUAUAACAUAGCAAACAAGAUAGAUAUGCUGGAUUUCGUAUCACAAAAUCGCAAGUCGAACACUUCCCGAGUGUUUGUAGUCUGUCUGUGCGAUUUUCUUACAGCAGCUGAGGAUAUGAUCCAUGGUUUUGUCGGUUUCCUUAAACAGUCUGCAUUUUGGGUCAUCAGCUGAUUUUUCCAUCUUGGCCUUAAUUGCCUUUGUCCUGAUGUCUUGCUCCUGGGCUGCAAGGAUCAGGCCUUCUGUCUCCUUCUUCAGGGUCCCAUUUGUGAGCCAGAGCCAGGUCUUCUCCUGAUCAGCUUUUCCUUCAAUUUUGUCAAGGAACUUUCCAUGCCAUGUUUUGUUGUGCCAGCUGUCAGCUCUAGUUUGUAGUGCGGUUUUCUUGUACUGAUUUUUUGUCUUCUGUGCUUCGAGGAGUUUCUGAUUUUUUUACUUCAAUCAAAGCAGGUUCUUCACUUUGCUUUAUUUUUGCUGCUUCUGUGACUGUUCAUUGGUAUUUGUUGUUGUU